AUUGAACGCUGGCGGAAUGCUUUACACAUGCAAGUCGAACGGCAGCACGGACUUCGGUCUGGUGGCGAGUGGCGAACGGGUGAGUAAUGUAUCGGAACGUGCCCAGUCGUGGGGGAUAACGUAGUGGAAAUUACGCUAAUACCGCAUACGAUCUAUGGAUGAAAGCGGGGGAUCGCAAGACCUCGCGCGAUUGGAGCGGCCGAUAUCAGAUUAGGUAGUUGGUGGGGUAAAGGCCCACCAAGCCAACGAUCUGUAGCUGGUCUGAGAGGACGACCAGCCACACGGGAACUGAGACACGGUCCAGACUCCUACGGGAGGCAGCAGUGGGGAAUUUUGGACGAUGGGCGAAAGCCUGAUCCAGCCAUUCCGCGUGCAAGAUGAAGGCCCUCGGGUUGUAAACUGCUUUUGUACAGAACGAAAAGGUUUCUACUAAUACUAGGAGCUCAUGACGGUACUGUAAGAAUAAGCACCGGCUAACUACGUGCCAGCCGCCGCUGUAA
Molecule: ribosomal RNA, 500 nt
Filed under: uncultured bacterium
Lineage: Bacteria
Description: partial 16S ribosomal RNA
Rfam family: Bacterial small subunit ribosomal RNA
Source: RNAcentral